Long non-coding RNA from Clupea harengus (Atlantic herring), 1076 nucleotides. NCBI's taxonomy places the organism in Eukaryota, Metazoa, Chordata, Actinopteri, Clupeiformes, Clupeidae. The record is from Ensembl.
AACAGUGGCGUCUUGCCAUAAAAUAUGACACACACGUCAUAAUAUAAACUGAAUCAAAAUAUAUAAUAUCACCACAGUUUAGUAUCAAUUCCCCAUUAAUACUAAUAAUUAUAAUAAUAUUUAAUAAUUCCCCUUCAGAUCAUUCAGGCGUAAAGCAAUAGCAAAGAGCUCUAAAUCAGGAGGAUGACAUCCGCAGAAAACUCUAACUGAGGAAUACGUCUGUAGCUGGAGGUGUGUGUGACUGUGGAAUACAGCUGUAUGAGGUGUGUGUGUGUGUGUGUGUGUGACUGUGGAAAGGUGUGUGUGACUGUGGAAUACAUCUGUCUCAGGAGGUGUGUGUGACUGUGGAAUACAGGAGGAGGUGUGUGUGACUGUGGAAUACAUCAGGAGGUGUGUGUGUGUGUGUGUGUGUGUGUGUGUGUGUGACUGUGGAAUACAUCUGUAGCAGGAGUGUGUGUGUGACUGUGGAAUACAUCUGUAGCAGGAGGUGUGUGUGUGACUGUGGAAUACAGGAGGAGGUGUGUGUGACUGUGGAAUACGUCUGUAGCAGGAGGUGUGUGUGACUGUGGAAAGGUGUGUGUGUGUGACUGUGGAAAGGUGUGUGUGACUGUGGAACACAUCUGUAGCUGGAGGUGUGUGUGACUGUGGAAUACAUCUGGAGGUGUGUGUGUGUGGAAUACGUCUGUAACAGGAGGUGUGUGUGUGUGGAAUACGUCUGUAGCAGGAGGUGUGUGUGACUGUGGAAAGGUGUGUGUGUGUGACUGUGGAAAGGUGUGUGUGACUGUGGAAUACAUCUGUAGCUGGAGGUGUGUGUGACUGUGGAAUACAUCUGCAGGAGGUGUGUGUGACUGUGGAAUUGCACAGGGGCAUUAUGAGUGGGGAGGUGUGUUUGUAGUGGGGAGGUGUGUUUGGUGUGUGUGUAGUGGGGAGGUGUGUUUGGUGUGUGUGUAGUGGGGAGGUGUGUUUGGUGUGUGUGUAGUGGGGAGGUGUGUGUGUAGUGGGGAGGUGUGUUUGGUGUGGGGAGGUGUGUGUGUGUAGUGGGGAGGCGUGUUUGGUGUGUGUGUGUGAGUGUGUGU